Molecule: ribosomal RNA, 109 nt
Filed under: Aeromonas salmonicida
Lineage: Bacteria; Pseudomonadati; Pseudomonadota; Gammaproteobacteria; Aeromonadales; Aeromonadaceae
Also listed under: 1 other name
Source: RNAcentral
GGCCAUAGCGCCGUGGAACCACCUGAUCCCAUGCCGAACUCAGAAGUGAAACGCGGUAGCGCCGAUGGUAGUGUGGCAUUCGCCAUGCGAGAGUAGGACACUGCCAGGC